UUACUGGGCUUAAAGAGUUCGUAGGUGGUUGAAAAAGUUGGUGGUGAAAUCCCAGAGCUUAACUCUGGAACUGCCAUCAAAACUUUUCAGCUAGAGUAUGAUAGAGGAAAGCAGAAUUUCUAGUGUAGAGGUGAAAUUCGUAGAUAUUAGAAAGAAUACCAAUUGCGAAGGCAGCUUUCUGGAUCAUUACUGACACUGAGGAACGAAAGCAUGGGUAGCGAAGAGGAUUAGAUACCCUCGUAGUCCAUGCCGUAAACGAUGUGUGUUAGACGUUGGAAAUUUAUUUUCAGUGUCGCAGCGAAAGCGAUAAACACACCGCCUGGGGAGUACGACCGCAAGGUUAAAACUCAAAUGAAUUGACGGGGACCCGCACAAGUAGUGGAGCAUGUGGUUUAAUUCGAAGAUACGCGCAGAACCUUACCAACACUUGACAUGUUCGUCGCGACUCUAAGAGAUUAGAGUUUUCGGUUCGGCCGGACGAAACACAGGUGCUGCAUGGCUGUCGUCAGCUCGUGUCGUGAGAUGUUGGGUUAAGUCCCGCAACGAGCGCAACCCUCACUUUUAGUUGCCAUCAUUAAGUUGGGCACUCUGAAAGAACUGCCAGUGAUAAGCUGGAGGAAGGUGGGGAUGACGUCAAGUCCUCAUGGCCCUUACGUGUUGGGCUACACACGUGCUACAAUGGUAUCUACAACAGGAAGCAAAACGGCGACGUUAAGCAAAUCCUUAAAAGAUACCUCAGUUCGGAUUGCACUCUGCAACUCGAGUGCAUGAAGCUGGAAUUACUAGUAAUCGUGGAUCAGCGUGCCACGGUGAAUGCGUUCCCGGGUCUUGUACACACCGCCCGUCACACCAUGGGAGUUGGUUCUACCUUAAGGCAAGGUUUAAAACCCUUGACCACGGUAUAGUCAGCGACUGGGGUGAAGUCGUA
This 928-nucleotide ribosomal RNA is filed under the name uncultured bacterium. RNAcentral's name for it is "bacterial SSU rRNA". It matches the Rfam family "Bacterial small subunit ribosomal RNA", at positions 551 to 1490 of the family's 1533-position model. The record is from RNAcentral.